AGUGAACGCUGGCGGUAGGCCUAACACAUGCAAGUCGAACGGCAGCACGGUAAGAGCUUGCUCUUACGGGUGGCGAGUGGCGGACGGGUGAGGAAUACAUCGGAAUCUACUUUUUCGUGGGGGAUAACGUAGGGAAACUUACGCUAAUACCGCAUACGACCUACGGGUGAAAGCAGGGGAUCUUCGGACCUUGCGCGAUUGAAUGAGCCGAUGUCGGAUUAGCUAGUUGGCGGGGUAAAGGCCCACCAAGGCGACGAUCCGUAGCUGGUCUGAGAGGAUGAUCAGCCACACUGGAACUGAGACACGGUCCAGACUCCUACGGGAGGCAGCAGUGGGGAAUAUUGGACAAUGGGCGCAAGCCUGAUCCAGCCAUACCGCGUGGGUGAAGAGGGCCUUCGGGUUGUAAAGCCCUUUUGUUGGGAAAGAAAAGCAGCAGGUUAAUACCCCGCUGUUCUGACGGUACCCAAAGAAUAAGCACCGGCUAACUUCGU
This 491-nucleotide ribosomal RNA is filed under the name uncultured bacterium. Its description in RNAcentral is "partial 16S ribosomal RNA". It matches the Rfam family "Bacterial small subunit ribosomal RNA", at positions 29 to 506 of the family's 1533-position model. The record is from RNAcentral.